Non-coding RNA from Nicotiana tabacum (common tobacco), 859 nucleotides. The record is from RefSeq and is a predicted model, not a curated record. NCBI's taxonomy places the organism in Eukaryota, Viridiplantae, Streptophyta, Magnoliopsida, Solanales, Solanaceae.
CACUACAGAAAAUAUUUCCCCCCAAAAUAUUACACUUAAUGAAAAUAUUUUCCCCCAAAUCCCAAUACAAGGCAAAAAAAUCAUCGCCCAAAUACUAGUGAAAAAACUUUUCCCAAUUAUUUUCUCUCCUCUGUCGCUUCACCCUAGCUUCAUCGUCUCCAGUUACCUAAUGCUUGUCAUUCAUUGCUCCAUGUAUCUUCCAGAUUACUGUCAAUCAUAACAAAUCUCCAUCCCUUUCUCUAUUGUGUUCGAUCUAUCUUGACAAGUAUUGCACGAGGUAUGAGAGGCCAAAAUCUACCAGAAGAAAAUCUACCACAUUCUUCUGGCUCAACUCAUGCUCCGAGUCUUGAAAAGGUAUUUAUAUUUCACACUCGAAAAAUUCCUCAACUUCACUGUCCAGUGGAGCUCACCUUGAUUUGCUAAAACCAUCAGUGUGGUGUUCCAUGGAUUCUAUAAACUAUGCAACCAGCGGUUCUUCAGACAAGAAUGUGCCAGAAGCCACUGCAAGUGUUAUCUCUGGAAAAGCUGAUAUAUGGCUUCUGUUUGUAAGAUUGAUGAGUUUUUUUCUCGUGCACACUUGAGAUAUACCCAUUCAAGAAUGUACCCAUUCAAGGCAUUCAACCAGACAAUUGAGAUAUAGUCUAUGGUUUCGCUUAAUAUACAGUCUAUGGUUUCACUUAAUCCUUUCCCUCUUUGUUUCUUUAGUUCUUUGUGGAGGAAGUUGACUAGUUCUGCUUGAUUCACUAGCCUGCUUGUUUAACUUGCUCAAAAUUAUGGCUGUUUCCAACAGUAAUUUCCAAGUAAACAUGUCACUGUAGGCAUUAAAUAUUGGAGAAAUUAAAAUAUUAUGUUUCACUGA